UGAGUACGAGCUGCUACGGCAGCGAAGUGGGUGAUGUCAAGCUUCCAAGAAAAGCCCUAUACCCGUUAAGGCAUGAUGGCCUGUACCCGAAACCGACACAGGUGGGGUGGUAGAGAAUACCGAGGGGCGCGAGAUAACUCUCUCUAAGGAACUCGGCAAAAUGGCCCCGUAACUUCGGGAGAAGGGGUGCCACCGCAAGGUGGUCGCAGUGAAGAGGCCCAGGCGACUGUUUACCAAAAACACAGGUCUCCGCUAAGUCGCAAGACGAUGUAUGGGGGCUGACGCCUGCCCAGUGCCGGAAGGUUAAGGAAGCUGGUCAGCGCAAGCGAAGCUAGCGACUGAAGCCCCGGUGAACGGCGGCCGUAACGAUAACGGUCCUAAGGUAGCGAAAUUCCUUGUCGGGUAAGUUCCGACCCGCACGAAAGGCGUAACGAUCUGGGCGCUGUCUCGGAGAGAGGCUCGGCGAAAUAGAAUUGUCUGUGAAGAUGCGGACUACGUGCACCCGGACAGAAAGACCCUAUGGAGCUUUACUGUAGCUUGGUAUUGUGCUCGGGCUCGGAAUGCGCAGGAUAGGUGGGAGGCUAUGAACCAUUGCAUGUGGGUGAUGGUGAGCCACUGGUGAGAUACCACUCUUUCCGAGCUAGAGUUCUAACAGCCACCCGUUAUCCGGGGGCUGGACAGUAUCAGGUGGGCAGUUUGACUGGGGCGGUCGCCUCCUAAAAGGUAACGGAGGCGCGCAAAGGUUUGCUCAGGCUGGUUGGAAAUCAGCCGACGAGUGUAAAAGCAGAAGCAAGCUUGACUGUGAGACCUACAAGUCGAACAGGGAGGAAACUCGGCUUUAGUGAUCCGACGGUUCUGCGUGGAAGGGCCGUCGCUCAACGGAUAAAAGUUACUCUAGGAUAACAGGCUGAUCUCCCCCAAGAGUUCACAUCGACGGGGAGGUUUGGCACCUCGAUGUCGGCUCAUCGCAACCUGGGGCUGAAGUCGGUCCCAAGGGUUGGGCUGUUCGCCCAUUAAAGCGGUACGCGAGCUGGGUUCAGAACGUCGUGAGACAGUUCGGUCCAUAUCCGGUGCAUGCGCAGGAAUAUUGAGAGGAUUUCUCCCUAGUACGAGAGGACCGGGAGGAACGCACCUCUGGUGUACCAGUUAUCGUGCCAACGGUAAACGCUGGGUAGCCAUGUGCGGAGAGGAUAACCGCUGAAAGCAUCUAAGUGGGAAGCCCACCUCAAGAUGAGUAUUCCCAUGGGGUAACCCAGUAAGGUCACGGGAAGAACACCCGUUGAUAGGCUCUACGUGGAAGCGCAGUAAUGUGUGAAGCGGAGGAGUACUAAUAGACCGAGGGCUUGAC
RNAcentral lists this ribosomal RNA (1348 nucleotides) under metagenome. RNAcentral's name for it is "bacterial LSU rRNA". It matches the Rfam family "Bacterial large subunit ribosomal RNA", at positions 1564 to 2925 of the family's 2925-position model. The record is from RNAcentral.